UACGAGCUGAGGGAUCUGGGUCACCUCCCACCCGUGUUUAUUUUACCUUGUUGCUUCGGCGGGCCCGCCUUAACUGGCCGCCGGGGGGCUUACGCCCCCGGGCCCGCGCCCGCCGAAGACACCCUCGAACUCUGUCUGAAGAUUGAAGUCUGAGUGAAAAUAUAAAUUAUUUAAAACUUUCAACAACGGAUCUCUUGGUUCCGGCAUCGAUGAAGAACGCAGCGAAAUGCGAUACGUAAUGUGAAUUGCAAAUUCAGUGAAUCAUCGAGUCUUUGAACGCACAUUGCGCCCCCUGGUAUUCCGGGGGGCAUGCCUGUCCGAGCGUCAUUGCUGCCCUCAAGCCCGGCUUGUGUGUUGGGCCCCGUCCCCCGAUCUCCGGGGGACGGGCCCGAAAGGCAGCGGCGGCACCGCGUCCGGUCCUCGAGCGUAUGGGGCUUUGUCACCCGCUCUGUAGGCCCGGCCGGCGCUUGCCGAUCAACCCAAAUUUUUAUCCAGGUUGACCUCGGAUCAGGUAGGGAUACCCGCUGAACUUAAGCAUAUCA
This 542-nucleotide ribosomal RNA is filed under the name Penicillium crustosum. RNAcentral's name for it is "eukaryotic LSU rRNA". The stretch from base 175 to 327 matches the Rfam family "5.8S ribosomal RNA". The record is from RNAcentral. Lineage: Eukaryota; Fungi; Ascomycota; Eurotiomycetes; Eurotiales; Aspergillaceae.